GCCGUGAUCGUCUAGUGGUUAGGACCCUACGUUGUGGAGUCCAGCAAGACCGUAGUAACCCAGGUUCGAAUCCUGGUCACGGCA
Daphnia pulex (common water flea) is the source of this 84-nucleotide non-coding RNA. Lineage: Eukaryota; Metazoa; Arthropoda; Branchiopoda; Diplostraca; Daphniidae. The record is from Rfam.